RNAcentral lists this transfer RNA (70 nucleotides) under Myotis brandtii (Brandt's bat). It matches the Rfam family "tRNA". Rfam says of the family: Transfer RNA (tRNA) molecules are approximately 80 nucleotides in length. Lineage: Eukaryota; Metazoa; Chordata; Mammalia; Chiroptera; Vespertilionidae. The record is from Rfam by way of RNAcentral.
UGGCCAGUUGCUCAAUGGUUAGAGCGUUGGCCUGCCGAUCCAAGGGCCUGGGGGUUUGAUUCCUGGUCAA